This 497-nucleotide ribosomal RNA is filed under the name uncultured bacterium. RNAcentral's name for it is "partial 16S ribosomal RNA". It matches the Rfam family "Bacterial small subunit ribosomal RNA", at positions 28 to 507 of the family's 1533-position model. The record is from RNAcentral.
GAUGAACGCUGGCGGCGUGCCUAAUACAUGCAAGUCGAGCGAACAGACGAGGAGCUUGCUCCUCUGACGUUAGCGGCGGACGGGUGAGUAACACGUGGAUAACCUACCUAUAAGACUGGGAUAACUUCGGGAAACCGGAGCUAAUACCGGAUAAUAUAUUGAACCGCAUGGUUCAAUAGUGAAAGACGGUUUUGCUGUCACUUAUAGAUGGAUCCGCGCCGCAUUAGCUAGUUGGUAAGGUAACAGCUUACCAAGGCAACGAUGCGUAGCCGACCUGAGAGGGUGGUCGGCCACACUGGAACUGAGACACGGUCCAGACUCCUACGGGAGGCAGCAGUAGGGAAUCUUCCGCAAUGGGCGAAAGCCUGACGGAGCAACGCCGCGUGAGUGAUGAAGGUCUUCGGAUCGUAAAACUCUGUUAUUAGGGAAGAACAAAUGUGUAAGUAACUAUGCACGUCUUGACGGUACCUAAUCAGAAAGCCACGGCUAACUACGUG